AACGUAGGAGACAAGCGUUAUCCGGAGUUACUGGGCGUAAAGGGCGUGUAGGCGGUCGACUAAGUCUGGCGUGAAAGCUCGCGGCUAAACCGCGAGAGGUCGUUGGAUACUGGUUGACUAGAGGACGGUAGAGGCGUGUGGAAUUCCGGGUGUAGUGGUGAAAUGCGUAGAGAUCCGGAGGAACACCAGUGGCGAAGGCGACACGCUGGGCCGUACCUGACGCUAAAACGCGACAGCAUGGGGAGCGAACGGG
RNAcentral lists this ribosomal RNA (253 nucleotides) under uncultured bacterium. RNAcentral's name for it is "partial 16S ribosomal RNA". It matches the Rfam family "Bacterial small subunit ribosomal RNA", at positions 524 to 776 of the family's 1533-position model. The record is from RNAcentral.